GUGCCAGCAGCCGCGGUAAAACGUAGGUGGCAAGCGUUAUCCGGAUUUACUGGGCGUAAAGGGUGUGCAGGCGGGACGACAAGUGGUGUAUGAAAUCUCCCAGCUUAACUGGGAUAGGUUAUGCCAGACUGUCGUUCUAGAGGACGAGAGAGGGGGGUGGAAUUCCGGGUGUAGUGGUGAAAUGCGUAGAGAUCCGGAGGAACCCCAGAGGCGAAGGCGGCCCCCUGGCUCGUACCUGACGCUCAGCCACGAAAGCAUGGGGAGCGAACGGGAUUAGAAACCCUGGUAGUCC
Molecule: ribosomal RNA, 292 nt
Filed under: uncultured bacterium
Lineage: Bacteria
Description: partial 16S ribosomal RNA
Rfam family: Bacterial small subunit ribosomal RNA
Source: RNAcentral